CAGGAGGUCACAGGGUCCCUGCUGCAAUGAAGGAGGGAAGUCCACUGUGCCCACACUUCUGAAACUGCUGCUCAAAUACAUCACGACUCUGGCUCAGUUCCAACAAAUGUUACAGUGCCUGCAUGAGGCUUGCACCAGAGAGACUGACUCACCUUUGUUCCACCCUGGAGAUCAGUAAUUACCGUGUUCCUAGAAGACAAGCUGAGGACAUGACCAGAAUUCCCAGGGACCUGGACUCCUGGAAUGAGAAUGGGACUGACCAGCCCAUGUCCCCCUCCCCUCCUCUCUCUGUUAAACCCCUAUUAACUCCUGAACAAUGAAACUCAGUGGAUUUCCACUCCCCGGGACCCCUCCUGUUGU
This is a long non-coding RNA of Nannospalax galili (Upper Galilee mountains blind mole rat), 360 nucleotides long. RefSeq lists it as uncharacterized. The record is from RefSeq and is a predicted model, not a curated record. Lineage: Eukaryota; Metazoa; Chordata; Mammalia; Rodentia; Spalacidae. The transcript has 3 exons.